AACAAGGGAAGCGCGAAACCGUACGGAUUUGAACCUACCAUGAAAGAGGGAAGGUCACGGCUGGCGAGGGAUAGCGGCAGUCCUGGUAAUUCUAUUGAACAUAAAGCGCCAUUAGGAUGAGUAGUACAAGUAUUCUUCCGGAUGAGGUCUUUGUAACCGCUAAAAUAAUAGUAGUAGAUGUCAAAAACAGUGGCUGGCUGAAUCCACACGAGCACGGAUGGGAGGUGGAGCUCACGCGCCGCUUCAGCGGCCCAAGGGAGAAGUAUUGUGUAGAUUAGGCAAGUGUAGGGGCGGCCCUCCUUUGCACUAGACACAAUAAGGUCAGUGAUGGCUUGUGCACCGCAACGUCUAAGCUCUGACAUGUAGUGGUCGAUAUCAUCGCCAUCUUUGAAUCCAUUGUCGUAGCCGUCAGAGUAGAGCGAAUAGGUCAAGCCAUGAGGAGUUGAGCCAUUCCCUAUGCGGCUCUGGGCAGAGAGGCUCGUGACAUACGUGACAUGUGCCCCAGUAGUGCGGACAAGAUGCUUUGCGAACUGGAGGGAAGGGUUGAUAUGGCCUUGGGCCGGAAAUGUCACGAGGAGGAACCGGUGUUGCACCAUGGUGGUCGCUGCGGUAGUGGUGGCGCGCGGCAGAGCGUGGAGUUGUUGGGACAAUAUUGGGGGCUUUUUUUUUCUUUCUGGUCUGAAGACGAUAUUGGGUGUUUUUGUGUGGGCUUAGCUGAAUGAAGUGAAAUUGUUGUGGGAUAAUACUGUGAGAGGUAGAGAAUGUGGAGACUUAAAUAAGGGAUUGGGGUUUGUCCAAAAUAAAAAAAUAAAAAAAUAAGGGAUUGGGGAGAGAGAAGUGACGUCUGUGGUGACGAAUUGAAAACGCUAAUGACAAGAGAAAUGACAUGGUUAUUUGUGUGAUUCGCAAUUUGUGGGCCUUGUCCGCAUGCAUGUCUUUUGUAUAUAUCAUUUUCAAAUUUUUCAUUAAGUCCAAAAUAUAUCUGAGAUGGCGAGAGAGACGAGUAGUACAUAAAUUCAUGAUCACAAAACUGAUUAAUAUAAACAUGCAAAGUAGUAUAUGAUUUGUCAGUUUAUUAUUAAAUUGAUACUCUGGAUUGGAUUGAAUUGUGUUUUAUUAAAUUAUUUUGUAAUAUUUAGGAUUUUGUAUUUUUACUCAAAUUAUGUAUUGGAGAAGUUCAAAAUCUUUGAUUUUGCUUGUAUGAAAAACAAUAUAACUCUCAAUAGCGUAAUUUACACAUGUUAUCUUGUCACAUGUAUAGCAUAGUACAAUAUAUUAUAUUUUCUCUUAUGUGAACGUCUAGAUGUUAUUAUCAUUCGGAAGCCAUAUAUUUUUUACUAUCUUUUUUUUCCUUUCUCCCUAUUUACAGUGACGUUAACAUAAUAACGUCUAAACAUCUGAAUAAGAGAAAAACUGGUAUGAUGUGAAUCCUACAAAAUAAACCAAAUAAUUGUAGUUAAAUAUUCAUUACGAAAUGACACAAAAUGCUGUUUUAGUUUGUUUUUCAAAAGAAAAUUGUAUUUUACUACUAGUCUCUUCCACUAGAUUAGAUUUGUGGUAAACUAUUCUUUAAAUUCCUAAUUUGUAAUCAGAUGAGAAGGAUAUUAUGAUUAAUAAUUUGUGUUCUUGUCUUCAGGCAUAUGCAUGUAUUCGUUUUCAAUUUUUCAUCAAAGCUCAAAAGAACGUAGCAUGGACUAGUAGGUCUGACAAGGUCUGACGGAGGGAGAUGCAAAGUUAGUGACAACAAACUGAUGAAUGCACAUGCAAGUGUUCUAUUUGCCAAGUUAUUCCCAUUUUGUAUGCCAAAUUGGAUUUUGCUGCUUUCCACUAGAAAAAUUUGUUUGUUCCACAAAUAAAAAAGCCUAGUAAAAUAAUUAGUCUACAUGAAUGCUUUUUAUGCUUGAUUUCGCAUAAUACGUAGAAUAAAAAAAAAUACGUAGAAUAAAUAUUUGUUUUUUCCACCAAAAAAUACGUACAAUAAAAAACCUAUCCCAACAUGAAUGCUUGAUUUCGCAUUUGAAUUCACAUUAAAAUUUGUAAUUCAAUAACAUAAAAAUUUAAAAUUAAAUUAAUUAAGAGGAAUAGUUGAUCCUAUUUCAUAUCAUCUCCCUUUAUUUCUAAUUUCUAACUUUCUUGGUGUCGUCACAUGUGUUCUUGCGUUCGUGCAUGUGUCAUUUUUAGUUUCUCAUAAAGUUCAAUAGAACACAACAUGGACUAGUAGGUGUGAUGUGGUCAGAGGGACAAGUAAUGAACUCACGAUGACAAUAUACUUAAAAAUACACAUGCUAUGGUUGCCUAGUUAGAUCCGGUAAUUUUUUUCACUAUUGGCUUGUCUAAGACUCCCUUACCAGCAAUGCUAAAAAAGCUCUGAAAUUACUUGUAGGAUGACAAAAAAUGUCUAGAAGAUGGUGAAUAGCCCAAUUUAAGAUUAUAAUCAAUAAAUAAAAAAUAAAUUUCGGUAGCAAAAUUGAUAUGGCUUAUCAAUCCUGAAACGUGCUGAGCAUAAAAUAAAAGAACAUGCAAAUAAUUAUUUUAAGUGGUAAAACCCCACCUCUGGGGAAAAUCCAUGGGACUCCUCAGUCCAACACAAAUCCACUAUAGAACGAAGAUUACAAGAAGUACUCACACACUUAUCCUAGACACAUUCUAAAUAAUGUUUACCGACUUCUUCGUAACUCAAGUUCUAUCACGGGAUGAUUUUCGACACUCCUUGUGUUGAACAUAAUAUUGGUCACGAUUGCUUCAAGCUAGCCAGAGGAAAACUGUCACCACAGUCUUGAUGCCCUCAACCGUAUGAGUCACUGAACAAUGCAAAUGAAUGCAAUAUGAAUGAUGAGAGUGUUUGAUAAAUUACCAAGUAAACAUGGAAUACUUGAUGAUUUAUCUCAAAUAAAAAUGCAGCUUUCUUAAACGUUUAAGCACCCAAAAUUAUAGUUCAAAAGCUAUACAAGAAGAAAAACAUCAAGCCUUAUUUUAUAUAACUUUUUCUUUUCUAGAAAGAAAAGUCCACAUCCAAAAAACAAGCAAUUUCAUUGAAGGCUAACCAAAGAUAUGUUUCCUAAUCAAAACCAAAUUACAUGAUUUGCACGAAUUGAAUAAAAUCAAAAAGAUAUUUUCCUAUUCUAAUGAUGAUCACACAUGAAGCCCAAAACAAUAGGAAAGUGAAAACCUAAAUAAAGAAAAUUUAUGAUAAUCCCACCAUUAAAGGAGUCCUAAUAUUCUUUCGUCAACUACCAAGAAUAUCUCAACACCUUUAAUAACGUGAUUUGGUUAAAACUUAAUUUGCAAGUAAAUUACUUUAAAAGAUAAGUAACAAAUCAUGGAUAAGAGAAACAAAGAGUAAAUAAAAAGAUAUUGCAAAAUAUGCCUAAAUGAGAUGCACUCCUAAAUGGAUUCUAAUUGAUUAAAAUUAAGGAAGAUCAAGGAAAUAAAAUCAUAUUAGAUUCCAAAAAAUGUUCCAAUUAUGAGUGCAUGAAAAAUGACAUGUCUUACCCUUCAGAUCAAAUAGCUCAUACUUGUUAAGUCACAAUUCUGGAAUUUGGGGGUUGCUUAGCUAUUUCAAUCCUACAGUUUUUAGAAAUCAGAGAUAGCGAUUUUGCUUCAACCCUACAGUUAAAUGACACUUCCAAACCAAUACUAAGUUCUAGGAAAUGCCAACACAAUUUCAUACUAACAAGCUCUCUAGCCUUAGCAGAGAAACAAAAACCCCCAACCCCUUCAAUGUCGCAUGUUGUGGGGGAGGUGGUCUGCCCCUCCUCCCCUCCCCUACUCUUCCUCCGUCUUCCUCAUUGAAUCACACUUAUCUCCUUCUCACCCUUUUUCCAAUUUGGUGGGAUGAAUACUAUGGGCAUGAUUUCCCCUAUCACCACCAUCUUUACCCUACAUGUCCUGCUCCACACUGACCCAAAAUUGAUGGCUCAUCUGGAUUCCUUCACCUCCCCUUUGAUCUGGCCUUAUCCUUGGUUUGUCGCUGUAAAUUUUAAACACGGUUUGGCACGUAUUUAUUGGAAGGUGUGUAAAGCUUUAGCUCGGGUGCUUGCACCACCUCCUUCUAGGUCCUUGGUUCUUUUCCCUUGGCUGUGGAAUGGGUUUUCUCGUUCUUUUUUUGCUGGAUGCAGUCUUUUGGAUGUAUUGGUUGGGUUAAUUCUGGAUCUGUUAGUAAAUCUCGGGUGGGCUAUGUUUUGAGGGAUGUUUGGCUUGGUUUGCUAACUUACUGGUGUUUGGUUCUUCUUGGUGGUGAUUGGUGGUUUGUCCAUCUACAAUUGCUGAGUUUCUCUUUGCAGGUGGCCACUCGGAGUUUCACAUUGGUUGUGGCAGCUAGGUUUCCUGUGUUUUAUUUUAUGUAUUUUAUGUUUAAUGUAGGCUUUAUGCUGAAUGUGGGCUAAAUUCUUUUUGUUCGCUGUUGACGUUUUAGUUUUUGGCUCGGGAAAAUGAUCUUCAUGCUAUGCUGUAUUGGUUUUAGCUAGUGUUCAUGUUUGUUUCCUGUUAGUUUUAUGGUCGGUGUUUUUGUUCGGAUUUGUUUGUACUGUUCUCUGUCCUUUUAGGGGUUUGCAAUGAAUUGGAACUUCGAUCCAAAAAAAGAAGAAGUUAGAUCCGAUAUGCCGACUUGCAUUAGGCCUGUAUUUUACCAAGGGCGGAGCUAGCAUAGGACCAGUGUGGUCCCAGGCCUCCACUCCAUUUUUAUCUCUUUUAUUUGUAUAUUAUACAUGAUAUAUAAUAUUAUAAUAUAUUAGAUUAGUUUUAGGAUAUUUACCCUAAAAUAAAAUAAUAUAUUAGGUUCUUUUUGUCUACAAAUAAACCAUAAAAUUUCAUGCUCUACCUUAAAUCUUCUAGGCUAGUUAAUGAUAUUUGCAAUAUAAACUCCUAAAGUUUUAACCUUUUUUUCUCUUCCUCUUUUGUUUAAAGCUUUGUGAAUUUUUUAUUUUCCUCAUGAAGAUGAAAAUUGGGUACCUUAAUAUUGUGCUUUAUGAACUUUUUUUUUUCCAUUUAUUUUCUCGGUUGGAAUAUAAAUGAUUAAUUUUUAAGUCUUUAAUAGUGUAGAUGAUGAAAUUAGUAUUUAACCAAUUUAAAAUAUGAAAUUAAUAAUAAUUAAUGUAUGAAGAGAAGACAAGUUUUGUGAAGAACCCCCUUUAAUGUGAAAUCCUGGUUCCGCCACUGAUUUUACUAAAUCGCAUUAUGUAGUGUUGUGUACAAACUGAAAUAGCUAGAUAAUACCUCGUGGAUGCUAAAAAAAAAUCAAAUAGUACCAUCUAGAUGUCAAAAUAGUGGCCUUGUUAAAACAUCACCAUAAAAUUUCUAAUAAAAAAAAUUUCAGUUAAAGAAAAAGAGUACCAUUACAUCCAUAACAAAUAGAAAACAAAACUGCCCCCUCCAAAUCAUAUUCCAGCAAACACUAUUUAAUUUAUAAGAGUAUCCACAAUCACGCUCUUUAUUUUUUAGUUAAAAUUUAGCUAAAAACAAUAGAAAGCUAUUUUAAGAACUGUUUAUAAAAUUUCAACUCCAACCACGCUCCCUAGUUUAGAAAAUCAUAAAUGAAUUAUUUCUUUUUUUAAUUUAUCAUAAAUGCUCCCUCUUCAUAUAAAAUAAUAAUAAUAAAUAAUUAGCAUUAAAGUAAAGCAACAUUUAAUUAUAGGGAGCCACUAGAGGUCUCCUUAUUUUAAAAGUUGGAUAUGGAGAAUGGUUGGAGAUGGGUUUCCUCAAUUCCUCCCUAAAUUUUAUCUAAGGAGGUGGUUUAGUAAGUCCAUUGUAGAUGCUCUAAUUAGUAGGUUUUAAAGAUAAAUUAUUCGCUUCAUUAUUCUUUGUUGAAAAUAUAAAUUUGUAGUAAAUUGAUAAAAAGUUCAUAAUCAAAACUAAAAUCUUCCUAAUCAAUUUUUAUAAUCAGAAGUACAAUGACUAAAGUUCUCUAAAAAUUUUGUGGAGUGUACUGCUUAGAGCAUCUACAAUCAUUCUCCCUAUUUUUAAGGUAUCUAAAAAUACACAAAAGUUAUUUUAGGAGCUCUCUAUAAAAAAUAAAAUAAAAAAAUAGUUAAAUUAAAAGUUUAAACUACGCAUAAAACAAAGCAACAUUAAAUUAUAGGGAUUCAGGAUUUCUUGUUUGUGGAGUCCUCUCACAAAAUAUAAACAAUUAAAAAUUUGAACUCACAAUACAUACCAAAACAUCGUAUAUAUCACAUAUAUAUAUAAUCAUAUUGGAUAUUCAUUACAAUCAUAAUUGUCCUUGACAAGUUUUCAUAUUUUGAAAUCGUUGUAUAAUAUCCUCAUCAUCUAUACUAUUUCUCAAUAUAUGCUACCAAACUAUAAUUUAACCACUAACUCAAACUUUGAUUUUCUUUUGACAAAUAGUUCAGUAAUUGAAAAACAUAAAUGAAUUACAUUUAAAUCAAAACAAGUACAAACAUCUUCUCAAACUUAUAAAUCGAAACAAAUUGGGCAAUCAAUUCAAAGUAAUUAAACCAUUAGAAAAUCCACUACUACAAAAAUUGGAAUGGACAACGAGAAUCCACCGUUGUCUAGAAGGUUUUUAAACCGUCGAGAAAUCGACCGCCAUCGUUUGAUACAUAAAACAACAACGGCAAAAAAGGUCAUCGUUAAGACAUACAACGUCAUACCAAAAUAAAAACCGAUGUCUAAUUACUAUAUAAAUAGCAAAAAGGAAAAACUUCGACAGCCUUAGAUGAUGAUUUUAGGAAAAUAGGGACGUCUAAAGCGUGUUACAUGUCAAGAACUACAUACAUGAUGACGUAAAAAAAGUUACCCACGUCUCUAUUUGAAAAAAUAUUGUCAUGUAAAAUGUCGAAACCGUCAUGGUUAAUAUAAACAACGUUUACUAAAUAAAAAAAACUGACGUCUAAAAUCUAUAAAAAAGCAAUAACAAGAAAACGACGAUCUUAGACGACGCUUACAGAAAAGAACAGACGUCUAAAGAGCAUUGCAUGUAAAGAAUUAUAUCGUAGCUGACGUAAAAUGUAUUAACCACGACCCAUGUGUAGAACAAUCGACGCUUAUAAAAUAUUCGACAUUGCCACGCAGGUAAAAACUACCUAGUUAAAGUUAUUCUAUGGCUGCUUCUUGUGAUAACCGAUGUUUAAAUAAUGAAAAAAAGCCACUUGGACAACGUUAGACGACGCUUUUUUUAAAACACUGAAGUCUGAAUAAUUUAACAUGACACAAUUUUAUUACACACCGUCGUAACAAACCCUAACCACGACCCAAUUGUUUACCCAUAGUUGUUAAAAAUGAUUUUGAUGGCGUGAACAGGAAAUAAAACGCCUUUGAUCAGAGUUUGAACGGCAGUUAAUGUAAAUUAAAGUUACUCUGUACAUACCCAAAUUUCUUCAUAGAUGUUGCAAAUCUCUCAAACUACGCUCUUGGAGACUGCUACAAUCCAUAUAAAGACUUCCACAGCUUACACACAACACCCUCCUUUGAGGUUAUAGGAAUACCAAGAGGGAGAUCCAUGUAAAUCUCCUCCUUAAGGUCACCAUGUAGAAACACAUUUUUGACAUCGAAUUGUAAUAAGGGCUAAUCGUGGUUAGCAGCCAGGGACAAUAUUACACGCACAGUAUUGAGCUUUGCUACUGAAGCAAAGGUCUCCAAAUAAUCAACUCCAUAGGUCUGAGUAUAACCCUUUGCUACCAAUCUAGCCUUGUAACGGUCAUGGAACCAUCAGCUUUAUGCUUCAAAGUAAAAACCCAUCUGCAUCCAACAGUUUUCUUCCCUCGGGGCAAAGGAACUAAAUCCCAUGUUUUAUUCUUGUUCAAGGCAUCCAUUUCAACAUUCAUGGCAUCCAUCAAUUUGGGGUUAGAUAAAGCAUCAUGCAGCAUAGUUGGCACACAUACACUAGAUAAUUGACACAAACAUGAUGCAUACGACUUAGACAAACGAUGAGUUGACACACAAUGUCUAAUGGAAUAUUUAGACUUGGCAUGUAUAUCAGGAGAAUAUUGUACCUUAGAUUUCUCACGAGUGGUUCGUUGGGGUAACUAAUAAGUUGACAGAGAUAGAUCAUUAGAAAUUACCUCACUUGAUUCACUAUCACGAGUAGAUUGGGGCACUGGCAGGGCAGAGGGGGGUAUUGCAUCAACCUCAUCCAUACAAGAAUCACUGUCAUUAUUUUCAGAUACAGGCGACUGGUCACUUGCUUCAGUGUGACCGGUCGUUUCGACACCAAGAGCACCUGCUUCUUUUUCAGAUAUGGGCGACUAGUCGAGUUCUAAAAGGCGAUCAGUCAUUUCUUCACAGGGACCACAAGUUUCAUCUUCAUAUAUGGGCGACCGAUCAUUUGCUUCAGUGCGACAAGUCGUUUCCUUCCUGAAAGCAGUAUCUUCAAACACAUCAUUCUCCAAUCCAAGACUCUACAAUUCGCUCCCACUCUCCUCCUAAAUUAGAAGGGAAGGAGAGACAUAAUAGGGCACUUCUUCAUGGAAAGUCACGUCCAAAGUAACAUGCACCUUCUGGGUAGGUGGAUAAUAGCACUUAUAACCUUUCUGAGUAGAAGAGUAACCAAUAAAAACACAUCGCAGAGCACAAGGAUCAAGUUUACCUCGUUGAUGAGAGUAGACAUGAACAUAGGCAACACACCUAAAAACUUUAGGGGGUAACUUGGAGAUUGAGACAAGGGAAACAUGGUCACCAAACACAUCAUGUGGAGUCUUGAAAUCAAGAACCCGGCUAGGAGUACGAUUAAUCAAAUAUGCAGCAGAUAAAACAACAUGCCCCCGAAGAUGAUGGGGAACAGACAUGUCCAACAUAAGAGAGCGGGCAACUUUAAGUAAGUGACGAUUCUUGCGUUUAGACACACUAUUCUGCUGAGGAGUAAAUGGGGUUGUCGUUUGGUGAAUAAUACCUUGAGCAAGGAAGAAAGAUGACAAAGUGUUAUUCACAUAUUCGCCUCCGUUAUCAGUCCAGAAUACUUUGACUCGAGCAUGAAACUGAGUAGACACCAUAGUACAGAACUCUGGAAGGAUGGAAGCAACAUCAUGUUUAUUUUCAGCAAGAAAACCCAAGUGAGUCAGGUACAAUCAUCAAUAAAUGUGACGAACCAACGAAAUUCGUUCGAAGUAAAGCGUGCCGGACCCCACACAUCAGAAUGCACUAAAUCAAAAGGCUUUGCAGCUUUACUGACACUCAAAGGAAAUACAGUGUGAUGACUCGUGGCCAAAAUACACGUCUCAUACUUAAAACUGAACUCAUCACAAGAGCGGAAAAAAGAUGGAAACAGACUCUUAAGGUAGCCAAAUGACGGGUGUCCCAAGCGACGAUGCCAUAACCAAAUUUGUUGUUUGUCUUUGUCACUGCAACUUUGAACAGUAUUAACGACAUGAGCACAAACUGGUGUAGAAGGCAAUGUCAAAUAAUAUAACCCCCCUAUCCGUUUACCAUGCCCAAUCUUCUCGUGAGUCUUGAGAUCCUGAAAAGAGCAAUGCGUAGGAUAGAAAGUAGCAGAAGCAUUAAGUGUAUCAAGUAAUCAACCAACAGAUAACAAGUUACAAUGGAUAUUGGAAACUAGUAACGCACGAGAUAAGGACAGAGUAGGAGUGAGAGAGAUUGUGCCCUCACCAGUGAUUGGAGAGGGCAAGCCAUUAGCACUAGUUAUGUAUGGGUCACGGGUGUUACUAGACAACUCAUCAAAAAAUUUAGCAUCAUAAGUCAUAUGAUCAGAAGCACCAGUGUCAAUUAUCCAAGUAUUAGAGCCAGUAUCUGGAAUAGAAUCAGAAACACACAAAUUUGCAGAUGCAGCAGCAACAGCACCAACAAUGAAGUUAUCACCCAUGAUUGCAGCAGAAACUCAACAGAUUAAGGCAAAGUAUACAACGGAACACAGCAGAUGCACAAAUACGGCAGAUGCAAGAAGACAGGCACGAACACAGCAGAGUAUACAGCAGAACACAGCAAUUGCACAAAUACGGCAGAUGCACGAACACAGGAAUGGCACGAACACAGUAAAGGCACGAACACGACAACACAACACACAAACCUAGGAGGGCGCACACUGCACAGGUAGAGAAAAAAAAAAAGAGGAUAGAACACAGGUGGACACAAUACACAGGUCUCCAUAAAAGUUGGCUCUGAUGCCAAGUCAAACAAUAUGGGUACAAUAUUUUUCAGGUUAUAUUUUAUUCUCCAAAAGAAGGUAUUUAUAGUACAAGGAUGUAACCCUAGUAGGGUCAAACUAGAAAACAAGAUAAAAACCUAAUUACACAAUAUCUGUACAAAAAGGAAAGAAAUAUAAUCCUAAUAAACAAGAAAAUAAAUAUCAUAAUUAAACUAGGAUCUCGCAAUACCAUAUCCUUCCAUCUUAGCCAUACCAUAAUUUUGUCUUUUUUCUUCAUUUUGUUUUUCUCAUUCUAUCUGAUCCAAGAAAGCCUUUAGAUUCCUAUCAGAAGAGCCACCUUCACUCACAGCCUCUCUUGCCAAACCCUUCCAUUUCUUAGCAUUUCUUCUCAACUCUUCACCAAUCUCCCCACUUCCCAUGACCAAUUCUAAGCACCUCUUGAGCUCCUCACCUACAACAAUACCCUCAUCAUUUGGUGUCACCCUAACACCAGUCUUCCACGUGUCCUCAAUCAACUUGGCAUUGGUCCCUUGGUCCGUCCACUGAGGAAAAGCCACCACAGGCACCCCGGAAACCAGGCUCUCCAAGCUUGAAUUCCACCCGCAAUGUGUCACGAAACAACCCAAUGAAGGGCUUGACAAAACCUCCACUUGGCUACACCAUGGCACUAUCUUCCCAAGCUCUUCCAACUCCUCUCUGCAGCUCAGUUUCUCUUCCUCCUUAUCAGCCUCCUUAUCUUGUCCUUUGCUUUCUUCUUUUUCUCUAAUCACCCACAAGAACGGCCGCCCGCUGUCCAGCAACCCUUUCGCGAUUUCCUCCAUUUGGGGCUUCGACAGAACGGACAUGCUUCCAAACGACACGUAAACCACGGACCCUUCGGGCCUCGAGUUCAGCCACUUGAUGUACGAAGAGUCCUCUGAUUUUUGGAAAAGAUCACCGCGGAAUGACUUGUCGGAUGGAUCCUUGCCGUCCAAGAGAGACGAUGGAAUCAAUGGCCCGAUUCCAAUCAGAUUGUACUUGUCAAUUGCUUUCAAGGCCUCUGACUCCAGCGCAUCGAACGUGUUCACCAGAAUGAUGGGCUUGGUUUCUCUCUCGAACACCUCAAAUUGCUCUUCAAACAAGAGAAGCGCGAAACUGUACAGAUUUGAAUCCACCAUGAAAGAGGGAAGGUCGCGGCUGGUGAGGGAUUGUGGCAAUCCUGGUAAUUCUAUUGAACAUAAAGCGCCAUUGGUAUGAGUAGCACUAGUACUGUUCUGGAUGAGGUCUUUGUAACCGCUAAAAUAAUAGUAGUAGAUGUCGAAAACAGUGGCUGGCUGAAUCCACACGAGAACGGAUGGGAGGUGGAGCUCACGGGCCACCACCGCGGCCCAAGGGAGAAGUAUUGUGUAGAUUAGGCAAGUGUAGGGGCG
RNAcentral lists this long non-coding RNA (11463 nucleotides) under Prunus persica (peach). RNAcentral's name for it is "long non-coding RNA (PPER_LNC000466)". The record is from RNAcentral. Lineage: Eukaryota; Viridiplantae; Streptophyta; Magnoliopsida; Rosales; Rosaceae.